GUGCUCAUUUCAGUGGCACAUAUACUAAAAUUGGAACAAUACAGAGAAUAUUAGCAUGGCUCCUGUGCAAGGAAGACAUGCAGAUUUGUGAAGCACUCCAUAUUUUU
This is a small nuclear RNA of Procavia capensis (Cape rock hyrax), 107 nucleotides long. NCBI's taxonomy places the organism in Eukaryota, Metazoa, Chordata, Mammalia, Hyracoidea, Procaviidae. The record is from Ensembl.